UGAGAUGUCGUCAAUGAUGACAGGGAUUGAU
Molecule: non-coding RNA, 31 nt
Filed under: Rattus norvegicus (Norway rat)
Lineage: Eukaryota; Metazoa; Chordata; Mammalia; Rodentia; Muridae
Source: RNAcentral